RNAcentral lists this ribosomal RNA (412 nucleotides) under Pseudomonas marginalis. Its description in RNAcentral is "bacterial SSU rRNA". It matches the Rfam family "Bacterial small subunit ribosomal RNA", at positions 75 to 483 of the family's 1533-position model. The record is from RNAcentral. Lineage: Bacteria; Pseudomonadati; Pseudomonadota; Gammaproteobacteria; Pseudomonadales; Pseudomonadaceae.
GAAGCUUGCUUCUCUUGAGAGCGGCGGACGGGUGAGUAAUGCCUAGGAAUCUGCCUGGUAGUGGGGGAUAACGUUCGGAAACGGACGCUAAUACCGCAUACGUCCUACGGGAGAAAGCAGGGGACCUUCGGGCCUUGCGCUAUCAGAUGAGCCUAGGUCGGAUUAGCUAGUUGGUGGGGUAAUGGCUCACCAAGGCGACGAUCCGUAACUGGUCUGAGAGGAUGAUCAGUCACACUGGAACUGAGACACGGUCCAGACUCCUACGGGAGGCAGCAGUGGGGAAUAUUGGACAAUGGGCGAAAGCCUGAUCCAGCCAUGCCGCGUGUGUGAAGAAGGUCUUCGGAUUGUAAAGCACUUUAAGUUGGGAGGAAGGGCCAUUACCUAAUACGUGAUGGUUUUGACGUUACCGACA